Molecule: long non-coding RNA, 697 nt
Organism: Oncorhynchus gorbuscha (pink salmon)
Lineage: Eukaryota; Metazoa; Chordata; Actinopteri; Salmoniformes; Salmonidae
Exons: 3
Source: RefSeq, a predicted model, not a curated record
CAGCCCAGUACAUCACAAAGGGUUCUUGGUACUGACAAUGGCCCCCAAAAGGUGCUUCCAAGAACCCCAUAGGAGGUGGGGUUCAUUGAGGAACCUUCUUAGUUGGUGGGGGUUCUCGCAGGAACCUAACUGCCCAAUUUAAACAUUUUGAUUUGAAAGAUCAACAGGUGCAGGCACUUAACUGAACAAUGUAAAGAUCUCCUCAAUUUAAGGUAUACAGACAAGGAGGCAUACAAAGUUAUAUCAAUUGGUAUGUUAUGCUCAUCACAUGUACCAUCCUCCUCCCUUACCUCUUCAAUGAAUAUCCCAUAGGCCUCUACAUUAUGGACAAGGUGUGUGUCACAUUGGUAUGAAUGAUUCGGGAGACAAGUGCAGGAAUGCGUAAUAUUUUAUUUAUUUCACCCAAAUGACAUGUAAAGGCACGGGGACGAAGACCAACCAAACACGUAUACAACACACAGGGUUGAAACCCAAACAAAAGAGAUUCACGGACUUCACCCUCCCUACACCUCUGAUGAACACAACAGAAAAACUGUUCUAUCACCAUGCACUGCAAAAUCAUUCUGGCUAUGGGAACGGAGAACAUCAACACAUUAAUAUCACCACACCAGAGGAUAUAUCCAUUGGACUUGCUAGGAGUUUACCUCAUAUUUGGAUUUUUUUAUUCUGCUUUGCCACUAAAAUCAUAAUAAACACU